GUGUUGGAAGGUCUUGAGCCUCACUCAAACAUAGAAUAAAGGUAGAGAAUUAUUCGGGCAAAAAGUUCCCGCUGUGGCUAUAUAGGAUGAAAAUUCUGAGUGAAGAUGAUUCUUUCACUGUAUUUGAUAAUUUGGUGGAACUUGUAUUGGAGAAGUGUGAGUGGUGUGAAGAACUCCCAAGGCUUGACAUCUUCCUCGUCUUAAAACG
Molecule: unclassified non-coding RNA, 208 nt
Filed under: Hevea brasiliensis (rubber tree)
Lineage: Eukaryota; Viridiplantae; Streptophyta; Magnoliopsida; Malpighiales; Euphorbiaceae
Source: RNAcentral